GAUGAACGCUGGCGGCGUGCUUAACACAUGCAAGUCGAACGAAGCACUUUAUUUGAUUUCCUUCGGGACUGAUUAUUUUGUGACUGAGUGGCGGACGGGUGAGUAACGCGUGGGUAACCUGCCUUGUACAGGGGGAUAACAGUUGGAAACGGCUGCUAAUACCGCAUAAGCGCACAGCAUCGCAUGAUGCAGUGUGAAAAACUCCGGUGGUAUAAGAUGGACCCGCGUUGGAUUAGCUAGUUGGUGAGGUAGCGGCCCACCAAGGCGACGAUCCAUAGCCGACCUGAGAGGGUGACCGGCCACAUUGGGACUGAGACACGGCCCAAACUCCUACGGGAGGCAGCAGUGGGGAAUAUUGCACAAUGGGCGAAAGCCUGAUGCAGCGACGCCGCGUGAGCGAAGAAGUAUUUCGGUAUGUAAAGCUCUAUCAGCAGGGAAGAUAAUGACGGUACCGGACUAAGAAGCACCGGCUAAAUACGU
Molecule: ribosomal RNA, 480 nt
Filed under: uncultured bacterium
Lineage: Bacteria
Description: partial 16S ribosomal RNA
Rfam family: Bacterial small subunit ribosomal RNA
Source: RNAcentral